Molecule: long non-coding RNA, 442 nt
Organism: Triticum dicoccoides
Lineage: Eukaryota; Viridiplantae; Streptophyta; Magnoliopsida; Poales; Poaceae
Exons: 3
Source: RefSeq, a predicted model, not a curated record
CCCCAUUCCCCCCAAUCAUACCGAGUCUCCAUCUCAGCUCCCACCCUCCACAGCGCGGCAACGCUCAAUCUGAAUCAUCGGCCCCGCCUAGCCGCCUCUCCCUGGACAUCCACCCAUACCAGCGACCGGCGGCCAACCUCGGCGCCCGGAUUUGGCGACUGGCCUCGGCGACCGGCCUCGGCGACAAACAUCGGCGACAGGCCCAAGGAGUCAACCUUCAAUGGAUGGGGCAAGGGCAACAAUGGGAAGGGUAGGGCCCUUGGGUAGGGCCCGGACUGUUAUCAUCCAACGCAGGAGUUUGUGUGGUCAGUAACCAGCAGCGGAGUUGCCGAGCACCGGCAAGCAACAGGGCAUCGACGGCAGCGCCGUCAUCAAUGGAAACGCUCCUGAAAAUAGUGUUGCCCCUACAGCAAUGUCUCAAGCGUGGCUAGAGCUGCCAUGG